This 301-nucleotide ribosomal RNA is filed under the name uncultured bacterium. Its description in RNAcentral is "partial 16S ribosomal RNA". It matches the Rfam family "Bacterial small subunit ribosomal RNA", at positions 509 to 807 of the family's 1533-position model. The record is from RNAcentral.
CAGCAGCCGCGGUAAUACGGAGGGUGCAAGCGUUACUCGGAAUUACUGGGCGUAAAGCGUGCGUAGGUGGUGGUUUAAGUCCGUUGUGAAAGCCCUGGGCUCAACCUGGGAAUUGCAGUGGAUACUGGGUCACUAGAGUGUGGUAGAGGAUAGUGGAAUUUCCGGUGUAGCAGUGAAAUGCGUAGAGAUCGGAAGGAACAUCUGUGGCGAAGGCGACUAUCUGGGCCAACACUGACACUGAGGCAGGAAAGCGUGGGGAGCAAACAGGAUUAGAUACCCCUGUAGUCCCUGUCUCUUAUAC